This 506-nucleotide long non-coding RNA is filed under the name Pomacea canaliculata. Its description in RNAcentral is "uncharacterized LOC112564269, transcript variant X1". Lineage: Eukaryota; Metazoa; Mollusca; Gastropoda; Architaenioglossa; Ampullariidae. The record is from RNAcentral.
AACGUUGACAGUACGAUGCGCAUAGGGAAGAUGUGCUGGAAGCUGGAUGGCAGUACCAGAUGUUUGGGUGGCUGCUCAUCAGUGAUCCUCAUCGGUGUAUAGGUAUUGUUUCUAUUGUGUCAAGUGCCUGUGUACUCCCAGCUGGUUACGCCAGAAAUGAUGUGCGAGAUGGAAUGUCUUAGAGAGAGUGGCAGUUUGUCAGCUGUCACCUAUGACAGCACUGUGGCUGCAAGAUGCCGUAACUACUGCAGGGAGCAUGCUUAUGACUUCCUCUUUAGCCUUAUGUCUUCGCUAACACCACCUGACAAAUAGCUCAUGGCUUCUUUGACCAUAGCACUUUGCUGCCAACACUGAUGACACCCGUCAAAUACACAGCCUUUCAACUUUCAUAUGCUAGUUUGGUGGCAAAAGCUAGUAGAUAAAUGGCUAGUUUUCAUGCUGGCAUUUAUGACACAUUCUGGUUUGAAACAUAAUAAUGAAUAAAGACAAUGUAUGUUUACACAUGA